GACGAACGCUGGCGGCGUGCUUAACACAUGCAAGUCGAACGAAGAGCGACGGAAGCUUGCUUCUAUCAAUCUUAGUGGCGAACGGGUGAGUAACGCGUAAUCAACCUGCCCUUCAGAGGGGGACAACAGUUGGAAACGACUGCUAAUACCGCAUACGAUCUAACCUCGGCAUCGAGGAUAGAUGAAAGGUGGCCUCUACAUGUAAGCUAUCACUGAAGGAGGGGAUUGCGUCUGAUUAGCUAGUUGGGGGGGUAACGGCCCACCAAGGCGAUGAUCAGUAGCCGGUCUGAGAGGAUGAACGGCCACAUUGGGACUGAGACACGGCCCAGAAUCCUACGGGAGGCAGCAGUGGGGAAUCUUCCGCAAUGGACGAAAGUCUGACGGAGCAACGCCGCGGGAGUGAUGACGGCCUUCGGGUUGUAAAGCUCUGUUAAUCGGGACGAAAGGCCUUCUUGCGAAUAGUGAGAAGGAUUGACGGUACCGGAAUAGAAAGCCACGGCUAACUACGUG
RNAcentral lists this ribosomal RNA (510 nucleotides) under uncultured bacterium. Its description in RNAcentral is "partial 16S ribosomal RNA". It matches the Rfam family "Bacterial small subunit ribosomal RNA", at positions 28 to 507 of the family's 1533-position model. The record is from RNAcentral.